GACGAACGCUGGCGGCGUGCUUAACACAUGCAAGUCGAACGGAAAGGCCCUGCUUUUGUGGGGUGCUCGAGUGGCGAACGGGUGAGUAACACGUGAGUAACCUGCCCUUGACUUUGGGAUAACUUCAGGAAACUGGGGCUAAUACCGGAUAGGAGCUCCUGCUGCAUGGUGGGGGUUGGAAAGUUUCGGCGGUUGGGGAUGGACUCGCGGCUUAUCAGCUUGUUGGUGGGGUAGUGGCUUACCAAGGCUUUGACGGGUAGCCGGCCUGAGAGGGUGACCGGCCACAUUGGGACUGAGAUACGGCCCAGACUCCUACGGGAGGCAGCAGUGGGGAAUACUGCACAAUGGGCGGAAGCCUGAUGCAGCAACGCCGCGUGCGGGAUGACGGCCUUCGGGUUGUAAACCGCUUUCGCCUGUGACGAAGCGUGAGUGACGGUAAUGGGUAAAGAAGCACCGGCUAACUACGUGCCAGCAGCCGCGGUGAUACGUAGGGUGCGAGCGUUGUCCGGAUUUAUUGGGCGUAAAGGGCUCGUAGGUGGUUGAUCGCGUCGGAAGUGUAAUCUUGGGGCUUAACCCUGAGCGUGCUUUCGAUACGGGUUGACUUGAGGAAGGUAGGGGAGAAUGGAAUUCCUGGUGGAGCGGUGGAAUGCGCAGAUAUCAGGAGGAACACCAGUGGCGAAGGCGGUUCUCUGGGCCCUUCCUGACGCUGAGGAGCGAAAGCGUGGGGAGCGAACAGGCUUAGAUACCCUGGUAGUCCACGCUGUAAACGGUGGGUACUAGGUGUGGGGUCCAUUCCACGGGUUCCGUGCCGUAGCUAACGCUUUAAGUACCCCGCCUGGGGAGUACGGCCGCAAGGCUAAAACUCAAAGGAAUUGACGGGGCCCCGCACAAGCGGCGGAGCAUGCGGAUUAAUUCGAUGCAACGCGUAGAACCUUACCUGGGUUUGACAUGGAUCGGGAGCGCUCAGAGAUGGGUGUGCCUCUUUUGGGGUCGGUUCACAGGUGGUGCAUGGCUGUCGUCAGCUCGUGUCGUGAGAUGUUGGGUUAAGUCCCGCAACGAGCGCAACCCUUGUUCACUGUCGCCAGCACGUUAUGGUGGGGACUCAGUGGAGACCGCCGGGGUCAACUCGGAGGAAGGUGGGGAUGACGUCAAGUCAUCAUGCCCCUUAUGUCCAGGGCUUCACGCAUGCUACAAUGGCUGGUACAGAGAGUGGCGAGCCUGUGAGGGUGAGCGAAUCUCGGAAAGCCGGUCUCAGUUCGGAUUGGGGUCUGCAACUCGACCUCAUGAAGUCGGAGUCGCUAGUAAUCGCAGAUCAGCAACGCUGCGGUGAAUACGUUCCCGGGGCU
This 1346-nucleotide ribosomal RNA is filed under the name uncultured bacterium. Its description in RNAcentral is "bacterial SSU rRNA". It matches the Rfam family "Bacterial small subunit ribosomal RNA", at positions 28 to 1381 of the family's 1533-position model. The record is from RNAcentral.